Long non-coding RNA from Lolium perenne, 2471 nucleotides. RefSeq lists it as uncharacterized. NCBI's taxonomy places the organism in Eukaryota, Viridiplantae, Streptophyta, Magnoliopsida, Poales, Poaceae. The record is from RefSeq and is a predicted model, not a curated record.
GCUGAGCUGCUCAAGGGCGCCCCCCAGGAGGACGAGGCCGUGCAGCUCGCCGCUAGUUCCUCUUUCCUGCCCGCCGCCUCCUCGUCCAUGCCCGCCACCAGCUCCCGUUUCCUGCCCAUCGCAGCCUCCGGCGCAUGCCAGGAACGCGCGGUCGAAGUCGCCGUUGUAGCCUGGGACGGCAGCCGAGAUGUGGCUGGGACGCGUGGACGAGGUCGCCGUUAAAGGCAACCAAGAAUCCUGUCCCGCAUCUCCGCUGCCUCUUCGCUGUCCACAAGUCCCCCGAGGCCGCCGCCUGGUCCGUACGGAUCACGGGGGCAGGGGUGGAGCCCCGCAUGGAGGAGCGAACAAGGACCUCCAAGCCAGGUACAUGUUGCGGCUGGCCGGUCCUGUUCGGUGUCGAGGGGAACGGAGGAAGGGGCGCAUCGUUCAUGCACGCGCUUGGCGCGGCCCCGCAACAGCGAUGGCUGGUAGGGGCGGCCAUGCUCCGUGGGAGGUCCGAUUCUCCGUCGCCGGGGUCGGGCCGCGGCUGGUCCAGGGAUGCAUCGAGCGCGAGCUUGCGCCAAGAGAGCAAACCGCCGAGUUGUGGAGAGGAAUUAGUGCAGCAGCCAAGAGAGGGCGAUGCUAUCCUCGGCUCUCACGGCAUUUUUUUUUUCCUUUGUUUCUGGGAUUCCUAGUGAAUGACAUUUUUCCAUUGAUGGUGAUUUUGGUGAUGGGAUCAGUGCAUUAGUUGAUUGGUUUUGGUGAAUUUGGUUUCAUGGUGAAUCUUUUAAUUUUAGUCUUGUGAAAUUUUGUGGGAUAUUUAUUGUGAUUCCUAGAUUUCUAAUUAACUUUUUUAACUUAAUUGAGAAAUUUCUAGAAGUAAAACAAUAAAUUUCUCAGUUUCUGGGUGACGGAAGCGCUGGAUCGGCGAGUGCCGGCACUGGAUCUGUGUGCCCCGCCCGGAAAACGGCACCUCGUGCCCCGUCACGCUCAUCCUGGGUGACGACAUCGGACCCCUCGUCCCCAGAGCCGUGCAGCAGGUCAUGGAGCUCGCCCCUCUAUUUCAAGACCUGGUCACGGGAGACGCGCAACGGAGCUUGACCCUCUACUCCAUCCGCCCCUGUUCUGCCUCAAGGGUGAGAAGGAACAACGAGAUCCGAAUGGUGCAAGUGCGCCAUAUGCGCCGCGAGGUCGGCAGCUGCUCGACGGCAACCAAAACAAAGACGGCAUGAAUCAGGGGAAAGCUGAAACUGAGUUCAGACUGGUAGCACGUGUAGUCUGAUGGAUAAAGUAACUCAUGACGGCUCCUACAACACCGGAGUAGCGAGAGGACGCCGCUUGCGCAUGGGAGCACUGGGACGCCGUCAACUUCAACUUCUUAUCGGAGCAGCACGAUGACCGCCACCACUACCAAGACCAGUAACUCUAGUUUUUCUCUGAAUAUGUUCCAUGCCGCGGCCACGAUUCCACUUUUUAGCCCCGCCUCUCAUCGUGCUCCCGUCCAUCCUGCUUAGUUUCUCAAAUCAAAUGAAGACCAGAGGGCGCAGGCGGGCAACUGGUUGAGCGCAGUAGAGCUCGAACCCCUGGCGCUGGAGAGGGUGAUUCGUGGUCCAUGUUGUGACAUCCUGCAUGGUCACUGUGUCUAUCAAAUAAGCACUAGACUAUACCACAGUAUUGCAGCAACAAAUAAAGUACUGCUUGCUUGUUAAAUUCCUGCGUCGGCUAUGAGUUACUGGGAAAUGGAGGCGCUGGAUCUGCCGUGCACGGCUUGCCUUAGGUUGAUCACAAUGCUGCGGGAAGACUAUCGCCCGCCCCGCUACGUCUCGAAAAGAAACUCAGAAAGGUGCUUCAGGGAGAUCAGGGCUAGGUGUUGCUGGGGGAUGAAAGUGGAAUAGCUGGGUGGAGGAGGAGCAGCAGGAGGCUGAAGGUGGAGUAGAUGCAGAGAUCGGGAGCAUCCGGUCGAGCAGUUGAACAUCGAGGCAGAGCCAGCUCUUCGCUGAGCACCUGAUGACCUGAUGGUCGAUGGGCGAAGGGGAAGCAGAUCCCACAUGAUCGUGGCUGGGCGGAGGAGAAGCAGCUACCAGGUGCUCCUGGGCGAGGGAUCAUGGUGGAGGCAGAUCCCAGGAGCACCUGGGCGAUGAGAUCGUGGUCGAGGUGCUCCUAGGUGAAGAGAUCGUGCUCGAGGACCUGGGCUAAGGCGAGGCAAGGAAGAAGGAUCCGCGAGGAGGAAGCGAUCGCGAGGGGAAUCGCGAUGUGCGAUCUGAAACAAAUCAAGGGUAGGAAGGACUUUUUAGUGUUUUUUCACCUGGUCGGAACAUUCCCCCAACAUCUUACUACAUUUUAGAAUGGAGGGAGUACAUAACAAAACAUACAACAGCAUACAGCAGUGUGGAGAUGAUAAGGACUGAAAAUAUGAGGAGUCCCUGUUGCUCCCGUGACUAUCAUGAUUGGUGUCUAGAUAUUUUCUACAAUGUGACCACAUAUCGAUGUUC